Molecule: non-coding RNA, 45 nt
Organism: Echinostoma caproni
Lineage: Eukaryota; Metazoa; Platyhelminthes; Trematoda; Plagiorchiida; Echinostomatidae
Source: Rfam
GCACCGCUGGCGAGUCCCAAACAGGACGAAACAACUGUCCAGUGC